Molecule: long non-coding RNA, 2854 nt
Organism: Notolabrus celidotus (New Zealand spotty)
Lineage: Eukaryota; Metazoa; Chordata; Actinopteri; Labriformes; Labridae
Exons: 2
Source: RefSeq, a predicted model, not a curated record
UAUUAGUGAGGAACAUGACCGGGCAAGUCCAUAAUGUGAACCCACGCCCCUGGAGUUUCUCAUUUGGUGAAAUAAAUUUGCAAAUGUGAAUAUAAUUCCGCAGAAGCUGGAGGAGGCUCUAAAAUCACAGCUUUCACUUUCAAUCAGUGCUUUAAAUCAGUGACAAAUAUCUGACACAUGAAGUGAGGAAAACACAUUUUAAACAGCAUAACCUGCAGCACAGAUGGAGCUCAUGUGGAAUUUAGAUUCGCCAAACAUUUUGAGGAAUAGGUUCAUCCAAGAGAGAAAAUGCCAGAAGUUAAAAUGGCAAACAGACCUAAUGGCCUAUUUUUUUUAAUCAACUCCCCUUCCUCAGGAUCAGCCAUGUUUCAGUUUCCAACCACACCACAUCCCAGACUUUUUCAGAAAUGAAUUAAUACACCGAGGGCCUGUCCUAAUAGGAACAAAACAACAUGUAAACAUGGCUCCAAACAGGCAGCAGGCUACACAAAGGCCUAGAAAAUGCUCUCCUGUGGAGAUAGUGUUGAACUUCUGUUAUUUUCGACGCAGAUUUGCUCGGGAUUAUUAUAAUGCACUGUAAUAGCACAAGAUCAACUUUGCAAUAGGGUCAGGGAUUUACUGCAUAUACUGAACAAGAAGGAGAAAAUGAAUCCUUUUAAACAAAUAGACCACUUUUUUAAAUCAAAUACAAUUCAACGAAAGGAGAAACUGAAGAGAGAGAAUGAAUGAAAUACAGAGCAGAAAUGUGGAUGCUCUAAUUAUGGCCUUUAUGUGGGUGCAGGGCCAUUAGAAUAAUAAGGCCGAUGUGGGAAAAGGGGGCCUUUUAAUUGUCAUCUAAUUUAAAAUGGUAACAAUUUGUCAUCACACGGACAACGAAUUAAAACCUGAAAAAAAAAUAUUUUUCAGAACAAAUACGGACAUCUCUGUGGAAUGAAGCGCUCGAGCCAAGUAUGGCCCAUGAAAAACAGCUGCAAUUAGCAAAAGCUGCACAAUGAGAGCACCGAGAUAACCGAAAACACAAGAACCCCGCGCAAAACUUUGCAGGAAUGACACAUUUUCGGAGGAAAUUUGUUUCAAAAUUGGUGAAAAAUGUGUGUAAUUGCAGGCCGGUACAUGUUUUCAUUUCUCUCUCACCCUCCCUCUGUAUUUGCACCUCAUUCUCCCUAUUCAGCCAUUUUACAUAUUCAUAACCAGAGUUGGUAAUGCGAAAACAAUCCGAGCUAUCAGCAGCAUUCAAGGCUGCACGAGCCACCACAGAAAUGCCACAAAACAGUCCGAAAAAAUCACUUUACGCAUUUACUUCCACUAUUUUUCUACCUGUUCACCUCAAGUGCGUUUAAACAUUUUGAUUCAAACAAUCAUUUUCAAUCAAUUCUCCAUCACAAGACAUCGGAUGAUACAUCAAAGCACGAGCCACAAACACCAUCCACAGCAACACACUCAUCAAUUUCGAUUCAUUUUCACUUUUCAUUCAACUUGAAAAGAGAAUGACUUCAGCAGUCAGAGCGCAUAAGGAGAUAUAUCUCCAGUAUUUCUUUUUCUCUUACCUUCUUGGAGAGAGUACAGCAGGAGUAAAGUUACAAGCCACAUGCCAUAAAUAGCAGGUAUAUUUUUCAGGAAUAUUUGGCAAUCCUGGCAAGUGUGAGGCGCGGUUUUUUGGCCAGGCGGGUCUCCGUGCUGGACUGGCGACUGUGCUCCCCGGAGGUCUCUCCAGCCCUGCUGCCCCGCUAAGCGUGGAGGGGAAAUGAGAGGCGCCUCAGCCCCGCCCAUGUCCCUCCUCUCCUCCCAAGACUACUGUGCAUACAAAUCCAUCCUCCCUUCAAUAAUCAAACACCGCAGAAAGAUCCCGGGCCACAGCGGAGCGGAGGGUUGGUGUGAGCUGAGCACUGGAUUUGGGUCCAGUUGUGUCCAAAGUGCUGGUGUGAGGGCGCGCUGGAGCUACGCAGACAGAUCUGUUGGCACCUUGGAGAGCGCACCCACCUGUGCGCCCCUGAUGACAGCGUUUCUCUGCGCAAUUUGGAUCUACAAAAGCCUCUUAUACUGCUGAGAAGACUCUAAAUAUGAAUUAGCACCUUUUCCUUUAAGUUUGGGCAUUUAUGACAGGAACAAGGAGCUGCACCACACACUAAUGACUGUUUCUCUUUGUCUUUAGGAGCCAUGAAACGUGCGUAGACAUUUGCGCACAGAAAUGCACUGCAGAUAGAAAGGAGGAGGAGAGAGAGUGGUAGGGUGUGGGGCAUGACACUCUCCCAGGGCAGGUAAAACACAGCAGCCUGCUGUCUGUUGCGCCUGGUGAGAACAGCGAGAACAGCUCCCCUGCAUAAUAAGCAUAAAUUAGCACGAGGACACUCCCAGUUCAUGGAAUAUUUAAAGUCACUGUGGAUGCCAGUGUGGAUCUGCGAGAGCCGCACAUCCUUCAGGCGAAAGAAGAACAAAACAAAACAAUUUUAUUGUUGGAAUAUUUUCUGCAGGAGCGAAAAAAGUGUGUGACCGAGAAAGCCUUUAAAGAGAACCAAGAGAGAAAACCAAAAAUGCACAGUUUAUUUUACUACAAUGUCUGAAAUUAAAUGUUUGUUUGUGGUGUUGUGUUAUGUUUUUGUUUUUUAUUAUUCAUAGCAUCAAACAUCUCGACGCUUCCAAUGACAGGGCAAGAGCUUAUAGCAAAUUCCCUUCUAAUUAUAGAGAGGUAUAAUAAACCACUACUGAGUUUAUUAACUGUAACCAAAAUACAAUUAAACCUAAAUAAAUCUAACAUUAAUUCAUUUUUAAAAAUCUUCUAGCCAUUUCUCAGGCUUACAUAUCCUGAGUGAAAGUUUCCCACUCCCAUACUAUCUCAGAACACCUGAACAUGAGC